This 528-nucleotide ribosomal RNA is filed under the name Triticum aestivum (bread wheat). RNAcentral's name for it is "partial small subunit ribosomal RNA". Lineage: Eukaryota; Viridiplantae; Streptophyta; Magnoliopsida; Poales; Poaceae. The record is from RNAcentral.
AUGCCAUUGCUAGAAACAGCCCAUGUUAGCCUUAAAGAUGGAUGCCAUGAUUUCUGUCGCAAGAACAGGCGUAAUUGUGAUGAUCCUUGCUGUGGUUGUCAUGCCUAUCCUAUCAACGAGGCGGUGCUUCUCAAUGGUUUGUCCAAUGCUGUCAAGUUGGACUUGAUUGCUUUACCUAAAAUGUUUCUCUACAGAUGGGAUUUGAAAUGGUGCCGCGUCUUUGGCAAAUUAAAGACUCUGUUACUCAAUGAGUGGUUUACAACUGUUGACCUUGUUUGCAUUCUCCGACACUCUCCAGUUCUUGAGAUACUCACUCUUCAGCUUGAUAACACCGAGAACAUUGUAGGAGCAACAGGGGCCCAAGAAACAAUAACACAAUCAUUUGUGUGUGAACGCCUAAAGUUCGUUUAUAUUGAAUGUGAAAAGGUUGAUGAGGGUGUUCGUUCAAUCUUGAGUAUCUUAAGUACAUGCGGCAUACUUCGUGAGCAAAUUAGCAUCAAGGAGGAUCCAUGUUCGGACUCAGAUUGA